AUAAUGGGUCAGCGACUUAUAUUCUGUAGCAAGGUUAACCGAAUAGGGGAGCCGAAGGGAAACCGAGUCUUAACUGGGCGUUAAGUUGCAGGGUAUAGACCCGAAACCCGGUGAUCUAGCCAUGGGCAGGUUGAAGGUUGGGUAACACUAACUGGAGGACCGAACCGACUAAUGUUGAAAAAUUAGCGGAUGACUUGUGGCUGGGGGUGAAAGGCCAAUCAAACCGGGAGAUAGCUGGUUCUCCCCGAAAGCUAUUUAGGUAGCGCCUCGUGAAUUCAUCUCCGGGGGUAGAGCACUGUUUCGGCAAGGGGGUCAUCCCGACUUACCAACCCGAUGCAAACUGCGAAUAC
RNAcentral lists this ribosomal RNA (350 nucleotides) under Escherichia coli. RNAcentral's name for it is "partial 23S ribosomal RNA". It matches the Rfam family "Bacterial large subunit ribosomal RNA", at positions 612 to 963 of the family's 2925-position model. Lineage: Bacteria; Pseudomonadati; Pseudomonadota; Gammaproteobacteria; Enterobacterales; Enterobacteriaceae. The record is from RNAcentral.